GGAGGAUCCUCUGGCAACGAGCAGGCGCCCAGAGCCGCUCUGGACACUGAGGCCUCCGUGUCCCACAGCAACGGGAACACCACGGGGACGUGGCAACGCUCCUGUGACACCACAGCAGCCGCUCACGCAAAAACCACCUGGAAGCUUCUCCUGUGUCACAAAGGAGCACAAAGAAUCCUCCCAGGGCACAGCCUAUUGCCCAAAGGAUCCAAGAGGAACUCUGAAAAUGCAGCAAACAAGGACACCCCAUAGCCCAGCCAGAGCACUGAGGAGGAACGAGGACUGCACCAAACCAGAGCAAACACGACCUGUAGUCACUGAUACUGCUGAAUAAAACCAGCAAGGCUUGUUCCAUCUGGAAUCUUUGUUCUAGUUCUAAAAACAAGCAAAAUUCUCCACUGUAAAUAUACAGAAAGCAGGAACUGGGGAGGAGGUUGGAUUAGGAAGGAGGAGGAGCAGGAGGAGGGAGAAAGGAAAAGGAGGAGCAGGAACAGGAAUAGAAGGAGUAGCUGGAGGUUCCAGUGCCCCCUGUGUCCGCAGCACCCCCGGCCACGGGCCCAUCGCCCCCACCUCAUCCUGCAGGAUUUGUCAUUCCCAAGCCAUGGCCAGAUGGAGGAAGAGGAGGAAAAUCCCCAGAGAUCCUGCAUGAGGAGGGGCUGCAAUCCCAGCCCAGGGAGCUGCAAAGAGGAAAGAUCCCCCCUGUGCCAGGAAGGCAUCUGGAGAUCCUGCCGGAGCUCAGAGCUGGGGGAGAGAGCUCAUGGCAGGGAGAAGCCCCACAAAUGCUUGGAAUGUGGGAAGAGCUUCAGCUGGAGCUUCAAGCUGAGGGAACACCAGAGGAUCCACCCUGGGAAAUGGCUCUGGGAGUGUGGGGAGUGUGGGAAGGGCUUCAAGAAUAGCUCCCAUCUGAUCUGGCACCAGGUGAUUCACACUGGGGAGAGCCCCUAGGAGUGUGGGGAGUGUGGGAAGACGUUCAGGAAGAUCUCUGUCCUGAUUAACCACCAUAGGAUCCACACAGGGGAAAAGCCUGGAAAGUGCUUGGAAUGUGGGAAGAGCUUCAGUCGCAGCUCCCACCUGAUCUGGCACCAGAACAUCCACACAGGAGAAUGCCCCAGCGAGUGUGGAGAAUGUGGGAAGAGCUUCAUUGAGAUGUCCAAUCUGAUUUGUCACCAGAAGAUACACACAGGGGAAAUGCCCUACACGUGUGGGGAGUGUGGAGAGGGCUUCAGCUGGAGCUCCAACCUCAGGGCACACCGGUGCAUCCUGAGUGUGGGAAGAGAUUUCCAAUGAGCUCAAGUCUCAUCAAACAUCAGUGGAUUCACACAGAGGAGAGGCCCUUCCACUGCCCUGACUGUGGGAAGAGCUUCACAAAACUGCACCCUCAUCAGGCACCGACACAUCCACACUGGGGUGAGGCCCUACGAGUGUCCCCAGUGUGGGAAGAGCUUCUCACAGAGCUCAACCUUGACCAAACAGAACUUCCGGACUCCCUGUGGGCACCUGGAUGAACACAGGGGCAGGAAUAUCCAUCAGAACACAGACCAACAAUGGGAAUUGCAGAUUGACAGCCCCUGAAGAUUCACCAGAAUGCAGAGAUACACCUGCAGUCCCUGGAGAAGCCCAUGCCAGAGCAGGGGAAUGCCUGAGAUGAGGCUGUGACCCCGGGGGACACCUGUGGACAGAGGGGUCCCUGCUGGAGCCGCCUGUCCUGGAAGGUCUGACCCCGUGGCAGAGUGACCCACGCUGCAGCACUGUGAGGGGGCUGCUUCCAUGGAAUGGACUCAGGUUGGAGAAGUUCCUGGAGACCUCUCUGGUGGGAGAGAUCCCAGAGUGCAGCAGGGGAAUGACUCCUGUCCCUGAACAGCAGGAAAAGCCCUGGGAGAUGAACUGACCAUGGCUCCAUUCCCUGUAUCCCUGCACUGCCAGGUUAGGAUGCAGAGCUGGAAGGAGGGAGGGGUGGAAGGAAGGUGCUUUUAAGGGUCUUCUUAUUCUCCUGCUCUGAGCUUAUUGGCAAUAAAUUCAAUUCAUAUCUCC
Molecule: non-coding RNA, 2031 nt
Organism: Cyanistes caeruleus (blue tit)
Lineage: Eukaryota; Metazoa; Chordata; Aves; Passeriformes; Paridae
Source: RefSeq, a predicted model, not a curated record